Molecule: non-coding RNA, 119 nt
Filed under: Chloroparvula japonica
Lineage: Eukaryota; Viridiplantae; Chlorophyta; Chloropicophyceae; Chloropicales; Chloropicaceae
Source: RNAcentral
GAGAAAGAGAGAAAAGAGAAAGGUGGGUGGUAGAAAAUGGUAUAUUAUUUUAAUUUCGUGUUUCAAUUUUCAAGUUUGUUUCGGUAGAGGCUUCAUCUAUUUUUAUAUAUCUUUUUACA